This 83-nucleotide transfer RNA is filed under the name Actinomycetes bacterium. RNAcentral describes it as "tRNA-Tyr". It matches the Rfam family "tRNA". Rfam says of the family: Transfer RNA (tRNA) molecules are approximately 80 nucleotides in length. Their secondary structure includes four short double-helical elements and three loops (D, anti-codon, and T loops). The record is from RNAcentral. Lineage: Bacteria; Bacillati; Actinomycetota; Actinomycetes.
GGGGGAGUGCCAGAGCGGUCAAAUGGAACGCGCUGUAAACGCGUCGGCUAUGCCUACGCAGGUUCGAAUCCUGCCUCCCCCAC